Molecule: ribosomal RNA, 467 nt
Filed under: uncultured bacterium
Lineage: Bacteria
Description: partial 16S ribosomal RNA
Rfam family: Bacterial small subunit ribosomal RNA
Source: RNAcentral
GACGAACGCUGGCGGCGUGCUUAACACAUGCAAGUCGAACGGAAAGGCCUCUUUCGGGGGGUACUCGAGUGGCGAACGGGUGAGUAACACGUGAGUAACCUGCCCUUGACUUUGGGAUAACUUCAGGAAACUGGGGCUAAUACCGGAUAGGAGCUCCUGCUGCAUGGUGGGGGUUGGAAAGUUUCGGCGGUUGGGGAUGGACUCGCGGCUUAUCAGCUUGUUGGUGGGGUAGUGGCUUACCAAGGCUUUGACGGGUAGCCGGCCUGAGAGGGUGACCGGCCAUAUUGGGACUGAGAUACGGCCCAGACUCCUACGGGAGGCAGCAGUGGGGAAUAUUGCACAAUGGGUGGAAGCCUGAUGCAGCAACGCCGUGUGCGGGAUGACGGCCUUCGGGUUGUAAACCGCUUUCGCUCAUGACGAAGCUUUGUGUGACGGUAGUGGGUAAAGAAGCACCGGCUAACUACGUG